Camellia sinensis is the source of this 489-nucleotide non-coding RNA. Lineage: Eukaryota; Viridiplantae; Streptophyta; Magnoliopsida; Ericales; Theaceae. The record is from RefSeq and is a predicted model, not a curated record.
AUACUUUUUUGAUGUGUCCGGAAAUGACUUUUUUGUUUAUAGAUAUUAUAUAGAUCAUUGGAAUGGAAAUCCUUUGAUAUGCAUGCUGUUGUGUCUGCCAUCGAAGAUCUUUUUUAAUUCAUAUUGUCUGAUAAGGGUUUGAGGGUACGUGUUUUCCUGGUCCGGGACAUAAUUAAAGCAAUUGAUAUUUUUCUUCAGGAUGAAGUAGUUGCAAACAUUUUCGAUGAGAAGGUUCAAGCUAGAGAGACAGCUGAAUCUGAGGGACAUGCAAUGCUGAUGAGAGUGGUUAAUGGGCUUAAAUCUUUCCGGCAUGCAGUGAAGUUGGCCCCGGAGGUGUGGACUGCUAUGCUAAUCCGCAUGACAGUGAAACCCGAGGCUCACAAAUUUACAUUUGACAUCAUUUCAGCCUUAUUGAUACAUUUUAGCCGAAAAAUUCCAGAGACCUUUUGGAUUUGUAUAUCUAGAAUUCUUCACAAGUUGGUGAAAAAU